GUCGAUGAGGUUGAUGGAGUGGAAAACGCCCUGGUGCUCCUCAGACACGCACUGCCCGCACCCCGCCUGGCGGCACAUCCGGCAGUAGAGCUGCAGCAGCCGGCCCGGGUGCUUCUGGCAGCUGCCCCCGGCCCUGGCCGCGUUCGAGCGGUACAGCCUGACCACCUCGGCCAGUGUGGUGUUGACGGGCAGCGCGGCCGCGCCGCCGCGGGGCAGCGGGCAGAGCUUCCUGCACAGCGGGCACGAUACCCGGGCCCCCGCCGCAUCGUCGCCGUCCGGUCCCUGCCCCGGCCCCGGCCCCGACCCCCUCCGCGCGCCGCGGACCUGCCCCUGGCCCCGCUGCUGUUGCUGCUGCAGGCGGGCGGCUUCCGCCGAGGCCAGGCACUCCAGCACGCAGCCCCGGCAGAAGUUGUGCGAGCAGAGCGGCAGCGUCACCGGCUCCUCGAAGAGGGACAGGCAUACGGCGCACGUCAGACUGGCCUCCAUCUGCGACGAGCAGACGAGCGACCGGGGCCGCGGCUCCAUCUCCGCGGGGCCCGGCUCUCCCCGUUGCCUCCAGCCCUGCUCGGCGGGCCCCGCCGCCAUCCGGCCGGGGGAAACGGCAACAACCCCCAAACGCAACCGCCAACUUCCCAGGAAGUGGAGCUGGGCAGAGGGGAGGCGGGGCACGGAGGCGAUUGGGAGGAGGCAGGAGAUUGGCAGACCCGCCGUCCAAACAGAGCGGGGCUUGGGCCGCUCGCGAGAGGCCUUGUCCCGCGGCGCCUGCCGGGCGCUAACGCUGCCGCCGCCAUUUUGUGAGCGCUCGCGUUCACGAGGUUCCCGCUCUGGCUGAGGGAGCGGGCGGUGUUCGGUUGGUGGGAAAUGGCGCUUGAAGAAGAAAGCUGCGGUUGAGAGAAAUGUUUUCUCUUGCAUAGUGGUGAGUACAUGUGCUCCUCAAAUGUUGUUCACCAGAAGUCUCCUAGACAUGUGCUAUAUGCAGGAGUGCAGAAUUUGAGUGCUCUUCGGCCACGUGGGACAUGAGGUGCUAGUUGAGGUGAAACUGGAAGGGCUUGAGCCAGGAUUCACCCUGUCCCAGACCUAAUUUAAGGGUUGGCAGUGGAGGCGAUGACAUCUUGCUAAAGGUCCCUGGGUACCUGAAGCCUUCCAAGGGUACCUACAGCUUGAUGCAAACUUGAAACUCCUCAUUUCUUACAGCCGUUUUGGAAUAUGUGGCGGGGAUUCUGAAAGCUGGUUCUGGAGCAGGUACAACA
RNAcentral lists this long non-coding RNA (1250 nucleotides) under Gallus gallus (chicken). The record is from RNAcentral. Lineage: Eukaryota; Metazoa; Chordata; Aves; Galliformes; Phasianidae.